Molecule: unclassified non-coding RNA, 329 nt
Filed under: soil metagenome
Description: partial contains 5.8S ribosomal RNA, internal transcribed spacer 2, and large subunit ribosomal RNA
Rfam family: 5.8S ribosomal RNA (bases 1-120)
Source: RNAcentral
GAUGAAGAACGCAGUGAAAUGCGAUAAGUAAUGUGAAUUGCAGAAUUCAUUGAAUCAUCGAAUCUUUGAACGCACAUUGCGCCCCCUGGUAUUCCGGGGGGCAUGCCUGUCCGAGCGUCAUUACAACCCUCAAGCUCAGCUUGGUGUUGGGCCCCGCCGCCCCGGCGGGCCCUAAAGUCAGUGGCGGUGCCGUCCGGCUCCGAGCGUAGUAAUUCUUCUCGCUCUGGAGGUCCGGUCGUGUGCUCGCCAGCAACCCCCAAUUUUUUUCAGGUUGACCUCGGAUCAGGUAGGGAUACCCGCUGAACUUAAGCAUAUCAAUAAGCGGAGGA